Molecule: small RNA, 257 nt
Filed under: Vigna angularis var. angularis
Lineage: Eukaryota; Viridiplantae; Streptophyta; Magnoliopsida; Fabales; Fabaceae
Description: Non-protein coding transcript
Source: RNAcentral
AUUCCUUUCGGUUACUACAACCAUCAUUCUCAUUGUCAGGGUAAAUAAAGUGAAUCAAAUGAUCAGUGAAGAUUCACACCUUAUCUCCAGAAGAUCAAUAGCCAAUAGAACUAUUUCCUCAAAGUAUAACUUUCAAAAGGAAUGUUUAGAAGAUGUAAUUUCAUUAGAAUCAGAAAGACCAAUAGUAUACAACCUUGAGAAGAUUGAAGAGGCUACGAAUAACUUCGAUGAAAGUCGAAGAAUAGGAAGUGGUGGAU